This 230-nucleotide ribosomal RNA is filed under the name uncultured bacterium. Its description in RNAcentral is "partial 16S ribosomal RNA". It matches the Rfam family "Bacterial small subunit ribosomal RNA", at positions 92 to 339 of the family's 1533-position model. The record is from RNAcentral.
UUAGCGGCGGACGGGUGAGUAACGCGUGGGAACAUACCCUUUGGUACGGAAUAGCCUCGGCAAACUGGGAGUAAUACCGUAUGUGCCCUUUGGGGGAAAGAUUUAUCGGAGAAGGAUCGGCCCGCGUUAGAUUAGAUAGUUGGUGGGGUAAUGGCCUACCAAGGCAACGACGGGUAGCUGGUCUGAGAGGAUGAUCAGCCACACUGGGACUGAGACACGGCCCAGACUCC